Long non-coding RNA from Dermacentor silvarum, 2679 nucleotides. RefSeq lists it as uncharacterized. The transcript has 2 exons. NCBI's taxonomy places the organism in Eukaryota, Metazoa, Arthropoda, Arachnida, Ixodida, Ixodidae. The record is from RefSeq and is a predicted model, not a curated record.
UAUAUGCAUGCAAUAAAAGGUUGGGGCUGUCAGCUGCUUGAUGUGUUGCCGUUAGUUAUCUUGCGCGCAUAUUUUGCCUCGUGGCCGCGUCAAAUUGCAGCCGGCCCCUGAUCCUCCGUCAGGAUCGUUAGUACGUGUACAGAACCAUCCAGUAGUGUGGUUCAGUGAAUGAUGCGUGAAAAAACGAGGACGCAAGAAAAUCCUGGCAUGGUGAGCUGUUCCGCCAGAUCGUGUUGAAUCGCGUUUUUGCGCGAGAUGGUCGAACAGCUUUGCUACUGCUUUUCUACAGCUUUGCUGCAUUUCAUUUAAUCAUCACCUGCAUUCUUUUUAAUAAGACAAAUGGCAUUACUGCGCGAAAGAGCGUCUCGGAAGUUUCCCAACAACAGCCAAUGCCGCCGUGCCUGUUGCAUGCACGCUUACCAGCUACACGCUGUCCUGAUGCAGUUGGAACGAUUAUGACGCAGUAUCAGCCUGCUACUGCGGGCUGCAGGAUCACGAUGACAAUACAAUUAAAAUAACUAAAGAAAUUAAUGCAGUAAGUGUGGUGUUCAAACGUUGCCAAGCGUGAUAAGCGGACCUGCCUCGUAAGAUGCGUUGAAUGAAUCGGCUUUCUAAAGUCAGCUUCGCCGCAGUAGACGUGUUACGCGGUGAAGCUUACCCAAAAAUUAUUGCAGUGAAGCAUACCAAAAGUGAAAAGGGGCCGCUAUCACGGGACAUGUAUAUGUUCCUUAACUAUGUACGCGCGCACUCGCCUUCGCCCAUCACAUUACGCGCGCCCAGGAGCGUAAUAAGUGUAUUGGCAGGUGUACUCACAUAUAUGAAAACUGCCAAGAAAAGCUGGUUAAGGCAAGCUCUCUUGUCGAAACGUUUGCACCAGCCUGUUCGACCACUGUUAUAUCACCGCAGUUUGUGUAUUGCUGUGAAGCAUACCGAUAGUGGGUAGGGGUCACGCGAAUCGGGAGUGUAGGGUUUCAGCCAGCGACGAACCCUACCAGUCUCAACGUUCUAGUCUCAACAAAGCACAUUUUUGCGCCAGGAUGACGUUUCGACAACUUUUGUUGGCUGUUGGUGAUGACACAACUCUUUUACAGAUAACAUUCUCUAAGCCUUUUGAAAUGACAGGGAGCACUGACACCGGCCGAUAAUUUGACAUGUCAUUUCUGUCCCCUGAUUUAAACAGUGCAGUCAGCUUCGCCUGUUGCAUUUUUGUAGGGUAAACGCCAGUAGACAAGCAAACAUUGAAUACGUGGGUGAAAACAGGCACUUUGCUUUGUUGUGUACCUGUCAUACUGCUAUUAAAUUUUCCUUUCCUUUUAAAGUGCUUACGUACAUCACAUCGCAAGGAGUCACUGUGUAAUUAGUGGCCUUGUCAUGUUAAAAAACCAGGCUCUACUCAAGAGAGGUUGGGGUUAAGUACCUGUGAAAUUUUUUAGAGGGGUAGUUUUCUGAGAAGAAAUCAGAUGCCAGAAACAGACCUGUGGUAUCCUGGGUUUGAGUAUUUAACAGUGGAAAGGAUACAAAAUACAUUAUAUUUCUUGUCUGAAACCAACAAGUAAGUGAAAUAUGUAAUAUAUUAAAUAGCGUCCAUGGAGCAACUGCAAGCUGUGCACACCUAGACCCAAAACGCGCUUCUCUUGCUCCAGUCCAUGCAGGCUGUCAGCUGCUUUGUUGAAGCCUCUAGUACAUUCUCAGUGGUGCAGUAAUUUUUGUCUGCAUUUUGCUCAAGUGUGCCCUAGACAUAAUUGAGUGAUUUGCAGUUGCAACUGGACUGCAGCCUCAGCUUGGGAGACCAGUGGUAGGGCACAUUUUGUAAAACUAAGCUACACAUAGCAUUACCAGUUUGAGCAGAGACCUGUUUAUAUAUGUGUCGUCUUUAGCAUCUAGAUUUUUUACCAUGAAUUCAGAAAAAUCUCCAGCACAUCGAGUCCCUAGAUUUGAAAUGCUGUAUAAGUUGUCUUCUUGUUCAUUGCGGUUGCGCUUAACUUCUGUCCAAAUAGGAGAGCACUUCUGCAUAGCACAUCAAGGACCAUUCUUAUUAACAUGCCUUCCUUUUAUUUAUCUUACCUACAAUCAAGAGCACACGUAUAUAGCACAUGAAUGUGCUGUGCUUGAACUUGACUUACAUUGCCAUGUUUAGUAGCACAGUGCUCAUAGUUGGUGUUGGUUCAUUCAAGCUAAGCAUUACUACAACCUUUAACUGUAGGUAUUAUGGUGUGAGAGCAGAGAAAUGGAUAUGCAAAGACAGUUGGGCACGUUAAGACAUCUUUUUGUGUGUGAAAAGGUGAAAGAUACACAAAAUGGGAUAGAACACGUGCACUUUCAUCUUUUCUCACAACAACAACAACAAAAAAAAAAGUCGGAGGAAUAAGGUUCCUUCACUGUGCCAUAGAAACUAUAUGUUUGCUCUCAAAUGUAAUUCUGAUUCGUUGGAUUUGUUCUUGUGCUGUUUUUCUUGAGUGUGCUUUACUUUUUACACGUCAACGUUUCAAACUCGUUUUUAUUUUUGACAGACUGAACAUCCCACGUCUUGGUUUGACUUCCUGGUACAGGAUACUUGCAGUUGGCAUGGAGUGGUGAAGCAGCAUGGUGUACUUUUAUUAAAAGCACAGAUUUCACCAGUAUAGAAGCAGUUCAUCAAAAAAAAACAUGUGUGCUGAAAAUAAAGUGUUCCUACCCACA